This 266-nucleotide ribosomal RNA is filed under the name uncultured bacterium. RNAcentral describes it as "partial 16S ribosomal RNA". It matches the Rfam family "Bacterial small subunit ribosomal RNA", at positions 524 to 793 of the family's 1533-position model. The record is from RNAcentral.
UACAGGAGGGCAAGCGUUGUCGGAAUUAUCGUGGCGUAAAGAGCUUGUAGGCGGUUUGUCGCGUCUGCUGUGAAAUUUCGGGGCUCAACCCCGAACUUGCAGUGGGUACGGGCAGACUAGAGUGUGGUAGGGGAGACUGGAAUUCCUGGUGUAGCGGUGAAAUGCGCAGAUAUCAGGAGGAACACCGAUGGCGAAGGCAGCACUCUGGGACGUGACUGACGCUGAGACGCGAAAGCGUGGGAGCAAACAGGAUAGAAACCUAGUAG